RNAcentral lists this unclassified non-coding RNA (358 nucleotides) under soil metagenome. RNAcentral's name for it is "partial contains 5.8S ribosomal RNA, internal transcribed spacer 2, and large subunit ribosomal RNA". The stretch from base 1 to 120 matches the Rfam family "5.8S ribosomal RNA", at positions 35 to 154 of the family's 154-position model. The record is from RNAcentral.
GAUGAAGAACGUAGCGAAAUGCGAUAAGUAAUGUGAAUUGCAGAAUUCAGUGAAUCAUCGAAUCUUUGAACGCACAUUGCGCCCGUCAGUAUUCUUGCGGGCAUGCCUGUUCGAGCGUCAUUACGCCCCUCAAGUCCCCGGUGGACUUGGUGGUGGGGAUCGGCGAGGCUGGUUUUCCAGCACAGCCGUCCCUUAAAUUAAUUGGCGGUCUCGCCGUGGCCCUCCUCUGCGCAGUAGUAAAACACUCGCAACAGGAGCCCGGCGCGGUCCACUGCCGUAAAACCCCCCAACUUUUUAUAGUUGACCUCGAAUCAGGUAGGACUACCCGCUGAACUUAAGCAUAUCAAUAAGCGGAUGA